RNAcentral lists this ribosomal RNA (1435 nucleotides) under uncultured organism. RNAcentral's name for it is "16S ribosomal RNA". It matches the Rfam family "Bacterial small subunit ribosomal RNA". The record is from RNAcentral.
CAGGAUGAACGCUAGCUACAGGCUUAACACAUGCAAGUCGAGGGGCAGCAUGGUCUUAGCUUGCUAAGGCCGAUGGCGACCGGCGCACGGGUGAGUAACACGUAUCCAACCUGCCGUCUACUCUUGGACAGCCUUCUGAAAGGAAGAUUAAUACAAGAUGGCAUCAUGAGUCCGCAUGUUCACAUGAUUAAAGGUAUUCCGGUAGACGAUGGGGAUGCGUUCCAUUAGAUAGUAGGCGGGGUAACGGCCCACCUAGUCUUCGAUGGAUAGGGGUUCUGAGAGGAAGGUCCCCCACAUUGGAACUGAGACACGGUCCAAACUCCUACGGGAGGCAGCAGUGAGGAAUAUUGGUCAAUGGGCGAGAGCCUGAACCAGCCAAGUAGCGUGAAGGAUGACUGCCCUAUGGGUUGUAAACUUCUUUUAUAAAGGAAUAAAGUCGGGUAUGGAUACCCGUUUGCAUGUACUUUAUGAAUAAGGAUCGGCUAACUCCGUGCCAGCAGCCGCGGUAAUACGGAGGAUCCGAGCGUUAUCCGGAUUUAUUGGGUUUAAAGGGAGCGUAGAUGGAUGUUUAAGUCAGUUGUGAAAGUUUGCGGCUCAACCGUAAAAUUGCAGUUGAUACUGGAUAUCUUGAGUGCAGUUGAGGCAGGCGGAAUUCGUGGUGUAGCGGUGAAAUGCUUAGAUAUCACGAAGAACUCCGAUUGCGAAGGCAGCCUGCUAAGCUGCAACUGACAUUGAGGCUCGAAAGUGUGGGUAUCAAACAGGAUUAGAUACCCUGGUAGUCCACACGGUAAACGAUGAAUACUCGCUGUUUGCGAUAUACUGCAAGCGGCCAAGCGAAAGCGUUAAGUAUUCCACCUGGGGAGUACGCCGGCAACGGUGAAACUCAAAGGAAUUGACGGGGGCCCGCACAAGCGGAGGAACAUGUGGUUUAAUUCGAUGAUACGCGAGGAACCUUACCCGGGCUUAAAUUGCAGAUGAAUUACGGUGAAAGCCGUAAGCCGCAAGGCAUCUGUGAAGGUGCUGCAUGGUUGUCGUCAGCUCGUGCCGUGAGGUGUCGGCUUAAGUGCCAUAACGAGCGCAACCCUUGUUGUCAGUUACUAACAGGUUCCGCUGAGGACUCUGACAAGACUGCCAUCGUAAGAUGUGAGGAAGGUGGGGAUGACGUCAAAUCAGCACGGCCCUUACGUCCGGGGCUACACACGUGUUACAAUGGGGGGUACAGAGGGCCGCUACCACGCGAGUGGAUGCCAAUCCCCAAAACCUCUCUCAGUUCGGACUGGAGUCUGCAACCCGACUCCACGAAGCUGGAUUCGCUAGUAAUCGCGCAUCAGCCACGGCGCGGUGAAUACGUUCCCGGGCCUUGUACACACCGCCCGUCAAGCCAUGGGAGCCGGGGGUACAAGAAGUGCGUAACCGCGAGGAGCGCCCUAGGGUA